Molecule: long non-coding RNA, 220 nt
Filed under: Elaeis guineensis (African oil palm)
Lineage: Eukaryota; Viridiplantae; Streptophyta; Magnoliopsida; Arecales; Arecaceae
Description: long non-coding RNA (EGUI_LNC025113)
Source: RNAcentral
UCUGCUUCAACUAUGGAGAAUGUUCUUCCACUUUUAUAGUUUCUCGGAUUAUACCUUGCUUUAAUUGUUACAUUAGAACCAUGCUGGCUCUUGAUUAUUGUCGAAGGAUUGUACCAGCUUUAAUACCACUUUGUUGGAAUUUGGCAGUGGAUACUUCUUGUAUAUAUACUCUAAUACCACUUUGUAAAGAUGGAUAGAGAAGUACUCAAUCACAUAUGAU